UCCAGUCCAUAGUUAAUCCUU
Molecule: small nuclear RNA, 21 nt
Filed under: Arabidopsis thaliana (thale cress)
Lineage: Eukaryota; Viridiplantae; Streptophyta; Magnoliopsida; Brassicales; Brassicaceae
Description: snRNA_03807
Source: RNAcentral